Molecule: ribosomal RNA, 268 nt
Filed under: uncultured soil bacterium
Lineage: Bacteria
Description: partial 16S ribosomal RNA
Rfam family: Bacterial small subunit ribosomal RNA
Source: RNAcentral
AGAAUCAACGCUGGCGGCGUGCCUAACACAUGCAAGUCGAACGCGAAAGCCCCGCAAGGGGCAAGUAGAGUGGCAAACGGGUGAGUAACACGUGGGUGACCUGCCUUCGAGUGGGGGAUAACGUCCCGAAAGGGACGCUAAUACCGCAUGGCAUCCUGCCUUUAGAGAGGUGGAGAUCAAAGCCGGGAUCGCAAGACCUGGCGCUUGAAGAGGGCCCGCGUCUGAUUAGCUAGUUGGUGGGUAACGCUCACCAAGGCAACGAUCAGUA